Molecule: long non-coding RNA, 378 nt
Filed under: Equus caballus (horse)
Lineage: Eukaryota; Metazoa; Chordata; Mammalia; Perissodactyla; Equidae
Description: lncRNA (ENSECAG00000045996.1)
Source: RNAcentral
CUCAGGUGGGUGAGUUUCAUGUCACUGGAGAUAUUCAAGAUGAAGCCAAAAGACCACUUUUCUGGACAUUCUAAGGGAGUUGCCCCAUCAGAACCCUUCUGGAGCCCUCCAUGCACUGAUUCCCAGGAGGCCCAUACUGCUGCUUCUCCGGGACGCUGACCCACGUAUCUGGAAAGCUUCUCCUCUAUUAGGUGCCAAAGAAAGUAGAGGGAGAUCUGGACACAGAGGAGACAAGAGAGGGAAGAAGGCCGUGUAAAGAUAGAGGCAGAGAUUGGAGUGAUGUUGUCUCAAGCCAAGGAAUGCCAAGAGCCAGCAGAAGCUGCAGGAGGCAAGGAAGCAUUCUCUCCUAGAACCUUCAGGGGGAGCAUGGCACUGUUG